AUUGAACGCUGGCGGCAGGCCUAAUACAUGCCAGUCGAGCGGAUGAAGGGAGCUUGCUCCUGGAUUCAGUGGCGGACGGGCGAGUAAUGCCUAGGAAGCUGCCUGGCAGUGGGGGAUAACGUCCGGUAACGGGCGCUAAUACCGCAUACGUCCUGAGGGAGAAAGUGGGGGAUCUUCGGACCUCACGCUAUCAGAUGAGCCUAGGUCGGAUUAGCUAGUUGGUGAGGUAAAGGCCUACCAAGGCGACGAUGCGUAACUGGUCUGAGAGGAUGAUCAGUCACACUGGAACUGAGACACGGUCCAGACUCCUACGGGAGGCAGCAGUAGGGAAUAUUGCACAAUGGGCGAAAGCCUGACGGAGCAAUGCCGCGUGAGUGAUGAAGGUCUUCGGAUUGUAAAACACUUUAAGUUGGGAGGAACGAAAGUAAGUUAAACUCUUGCUGUUUUGACGUUACCAACACAGUAAGCCCCGGCUAACUUCGUG
Molecule: ribosomal RNA, 484 nt
Filed under: uncultured bacterium
Lineage: Bacteria
Description: partial 16S ribosomal RNA
Rfam family: Bacterial small subunit ribosomal RNA
Source: RNAcentral